RNAcentral lists this ribosomal RNA (433 nucleotides) under uncultured bacterium. RNAcentral's name for it is "partial 16S ribosomal RNA". It matches the Rfam family "Bacterial small subunit ribosomal RNA", at positions 29 to 507 of the family's 1533-position model. The record is from RNAcentral.
AACGAACGCUGGCGGCAUGCCUAACACAUGCAAGUCGAACGAUACCUUCGGGUCUAGUGGCGCACGGGUGCGUAACGCGUGGGAACCUGCCCUUAGGUUCGGAAUAACUCCCCGAAAGGGGUGCUAAUACCGGAUAAUGUCUUCGGACCAAAGAUUUAUCGCCUUUGGAUGGGCCCGCGUUGGAUUAGCUAGUUGGUAGGGUAGAAGCCUACCAAGGCGACGAUCCAUAGCUGGUCUGAGAGGAUGAUCAGCCACACUGGGACUGAGACACGGCCCAGACUCCUACGGGAGGCAGCAGUGGGGAAUAUUGGACAAUGGGCGAAAGCCUGAUACAGCAAUGCCGCGUGAGUGAUGAAGGCCUUAGGGUUGUAAAGCUCUUUUACCCGGGAUGAUAAUGACAUUACCGGGAGAAUAAGCGCCGGCUAACUCCGUG